CAGCCGCCGCGGGAAUACGUAGGUGGCAAGCGUUGUCCGGAAUUAUUGGGCGUAAAGGGCUCGCAGGCGGUUUCUUAAGUCUGAUGUGAAAGCCCCCGGCUCGACCGGGGAGGGUCAUUGGAAACUGGGAAACUUGGGUGCAGAAGAGGAGAGUGGAAUUCCACGUGUAGCGGUGAAAUGCGUAGAGAUGUGGAGGAACACCAGUGGCGAAGGCGACUCUCUGGUCUGUAACUGACGCUGAGGAGCGAAAGCGUGGGGAGCGAACAGGAUUAGAUACCCCUGUAGUCCCUGUCUCUUAUAC
RNAcentral lists this ribosomal RNA (301 nucleotides) under uncultured bacterium. Its description in RNAcentral is "partial 16S ribosomal RNA". It matches the Rfam family "Bacterial small subunit ribosomal RNA", at positions 509 to 807 of the family's 1533-position model. The record is from RNAcentral.